GUGACAUUGUUCAACGGCCGCGGUAUCCUAACCGUGCGAAGGUAGCGUAAUCACUUGUCCUUUAAAUAAGGACUAGUAUGAACGGCUUCACGAAGGCUAUACUGUCUCCUUAAUCUAAUCAAUUAAACUAAUCUCCCCGUGAAGAAGCGGGGAUUCAUCUAUAAGACGAGAAGACCCUAUGGAGCUUUAAACAUCUAAGACACUUGAUUUUUACCUACUAAACUUCAUGCAACCUAUCCUUUUGUCUUAAGUUUUAGGUUGGGGUGACCACGGAGAAAAAUUAAACCUCCACGUAGAAAGAAAAUUCUUUUCUAAGCAAAAAGCCACAUCUUAACGCAUCAAUAUAUUGACUUAACUUGACCCA
This 364-nucleotide ribosomal RNA is filed under the name Allobates femoralis (brilliant-thighed poison frog). RNAcentral's name for it is "partial 16S ribosomal RNA". It matches the Rfam family "Bacterial large subunit ribosomal RNA", at positions 1914 to 2386 of the family's 2925-position model. Lineage: Eukaryota; Metazoa; Chordata; Amphibia; Anura; Aromobatidae. The record is from RNAcentral.